UCAGGGAGGGGAGAAGGUAUGGGUGACAGAGAGAGGGAGGAUUCCAUUCCCAUAUUAAGUUUUGUAGAGGUCCCUGACCAUGCCUAAAAAUACUGACACUGAAGGUGUGAGCAUUUACAAGAUGGCCACCAUGGAAUUCUGAGGGUUGAUGAGCUAUACUGUGGAGAGAGAGAGACAUAUUGAGAGCGUCAUAUAAUCAUCAACAUGCCGUCGGUCUUUACAGAAUUCAGAAGCCAUCAUACGAAGCAUCGGGGAGUGCUGACGUUCCGGUUGGUGGUGACGUCGGGACCGGGGCCCGACACCAAUGGAACUGGGGGUGCCUAAGCCAGCUCGUUGGGCUGUUACGUCCUAGCUGGCUCGAGAGGUUUCUUGCCCCGGUUGGCUCGGCAGGCGCCCAUCUCACGUCAGUACUCAGCCGGCUCGUCAGGCUGCUACGCCUCAGCCCGGAUCUUUGGGCUCCCACGCCUGAACGGGAUCGACAGGCCUUCAUGCCUCAGCCGGAUCGUCAGGCUCCUAUGCCUCAGCCGGCUCACCAGGCUCUCACGCCUCUGCCGGUUCGUCGGGGUUUCACGCCGAGACGGCUUGUCCAGCGCCUGUGCUGACGUUGUUCCUGUCUUGUUUUAUGUCUGUUCCUGAUUAAAUGUUUGACUCCCCAUA
Long non-coding RNA from Salmo salar (Atlantic salmon), 657 nucleotides. RefSeq lists it as uncharacterized. The record is from RefSeq and is a predicted model, not a curated record. NCBI's taxonomy places the organism in Eukaryota, Metazoa, Chordata, Actinopteri, Salmoniformes, Salmonidae.